GGGGAACCAGGACUUUUACUUUGAAAAAAUUAGAGUGCUCCAGGCAGGCCUAUGCUCGAAUACAUUAGCAUGGGAUAAUAGAAUAGGACGUGUGGUUCUAUUUUGUUGGUUUCUAGGACCGCCGUAAUGAUUAAUAGGGACAGUCGGGGGCAUCAGUAUUCAAUUGUCAGAGGUGAAAUUCUUGGAUCUAUUGAAGACUAACUACUGCGAAAGCAUUUGCCAAGGAUGUUUUCAUUGAUAAGGAACGAAAGUUAGGGGAUCGAAGACGAUCAGAUACCGUCGUAGUCUUAACUAUAAACUAUGCCGACUAGGGAUCGGACGAUGUUAUCUUUUGACGCGUUCGGCACCUUUCGAGAAAUCAAAGUGCUUGGGCUCCAGGGGGAGUAUGGUCGCAAGGCUGAAACUUAAAGAAAUUGACGGAAGGGCACCACCAGGGGUGGAACCUGCGGCUUAAUUUGACCCAACACGGGGAAACUCACCAGGUCCAGACACAGUGAGGAUUGACAGAUUGAGAGCUCUUUCUUGAUUCUGUGGGUGGUGGUGCAUGGCCGUUCUUAGUUGGUGGAGUGAUUUGUCUGCUUAAUUGCGAUAACGAACGAGACCU
RNAcentral lists this ribosomal RNA (604 nucleotides) under uncultured fungus. RNAcentral describes it as "SSU rRNA". It matches the Rfam family "Eukaryotic small subunit ribosomal RNA", at positions 737 to 1343 of the family's 1831-position model. Lineage: Eukaryota; Fungi. The record is from RNAcentral.